This 346-nucleotide ribosomal RNA is filed under the name uncultured fungus. Its description in RNAcentral is "eukaryotic LSU rRNA". The stretch from base 291 to 346 matches the Rfam family "Eukaryotic large subunit ribosomal RNA", at positions 1 to 56 of the family's 3401-position model. The record is from RNAcentral. Lineage: Eukaryota; Fungi.
GUGAGUCAUCGAGUCUUUGAACGCACCUUGCGCUCCUUGGCAUUCCUCGGAGCAUGCCUGUUCGAGUGUCUUUUUCUUCCUCCAUUCCCCCUCCACCUCGUGUGAAGGUGAAUGGGAUCGUGAUGGUUUCGCGCGUGAAAGCGAGCGUCCAUUGAAAGAAAGUCGAGCGCGCGCCGCACGAGAUCGGCCCGACUCUGACGUUGUAAUCGCCUAGCGUUCCUCGUUGGAUACGGUCUCUUGGGGGCGGCUGCCAAUAACGAUCUCGAGGAUUCCUCGAGUGAGUGUGAUUUUGACCUCGAAUCAGGUAGGACUACCCGCUGAACUUAAGCAUAUCAAUAAGCGGAGG